CACGUAGGCACCAAGCGUUAUCCGGAUUUAUUGGGCGUAAAGAGCUCGUAGGCGGUUCGGUAAGUCGGGUGUGAAAACUCUGGGCUCAACCCAGAGAGGCCACCCGAUACUGCUGUGACUAGAGUGCGGUAGGGGAACGGGGAAUUCCUGGUGUAGCGGUGAAAUGCGCAGAUAUCAGGAGGAACACCAGCGGCGAAGGCGCCGCUCUGGGCCGUAACUGACGCUGAGGAGCGAAAGCAUGGGUAGCAAACAGG
RNAcentral lists this ribosomal RNA (254 nucleotides) under uncultured bacterium. RNAcentral's name for it is "partial 16S ribosomal RNA". It matches the Rfam family "Bacterial small subunit ribosomal RNA", at positions 524 to 776 of the family's 1533-position model. The record is from RNAcentral.